AUGAUUAAGUUGGGGGGUGUGAUUUAUGUCACAAAUUGACAUAAAAAAUAUCAAUUAAUAUCUAAAUUAUCUAACUUUAUUAAGAAAUUGAUACUUGUUAUUAUAUUUUACAGAAGAAGAGAUCAUCAAUAGAAAGAACAAGGAAAGAGGAUUCCAACGGCGCAAAUUUUAUGCAAAACGGAGUUAAAUUGACCCAGGAAUUGAAGAAUGAAGAAAGAAGAG
This 222-nucleotide long non-coding RNA is filed under the name Elaeis guineensis (African oil palm). Its description in RNAcentral is "long non-coding RNA (EGUI_LNC046226)". The record is from RNAcentral. Lineage: Eukaryota; Viridiplantae; Streptophyta; Magnoliopsida; Arecales; Arecaceae.